Molecule: ribosomal RNA, 253 nt
Filed under: uncultured bacterium
Lineage: Bacteria
Description: partial 16S ribosomal RNA
Rfam family: Bacterial small subunit ribosomal RNA
Source: RNAcentral
UACGUAGGAGGCAAGCGUUGUCCGGAAUUACUGGGCGUAAAGAGCGUGUAGGCGGUCCGGUAAGUCCGCUGUGAAAGUCGGGGGCUCAACCCUCGAAUGCCGGUGGAUACUGUCGGGCUAGAGUGCGGAAGAGGCGACUGGAAUUCCUGGUGUAGCGGUGGAAUGCGCAGAUAUCAGGAGGAACACCGAUGGCGAAGGCAGGUCACUGGGCCGCAACUGACGCUGAGGAGCGAAAGCGUGGGGAGCAAACAGG